GGUCCAUUGGCUCAAUGGCAGAGCGUCUGACUACGAUUCCUCGGUAAUCAGGAGGUUCCAGGUUCGACCCCUGGAUGGAUCG
This is a non-coding RNA of Parathielavia appendiculata, 82 nucleotides long. The record is from the annotation of a RefSeq genome assembly. NCBI's taxonomy places the organism in Eukaryota, Fungi, Ascomycota, Sordariomycetes, Sordariales, Chaetomiaceae.